Molecule: ribosomal RNA, 245 nt
Filed under: uncultured archaeon
Lineage: Archaea
Description: partial 16S ribosomal RNA
Rfam family: Archaeal small subunit ribosomal RNA
Source: RNAcentral
CCCCAGCGCCACGAGUGGGAAUCGGUAUUAUUGGGUCUAAAGCGUCCGUAGCAGGUCUGUUAAAUUGCCCGUGAAAUCGCACAAGUCAACUGUGCGGACUGCGGGUAGGACUGGCAGACUAGAGACUGGGAGACGUUGGAGGUAUUCAAAGGGGAGCGGUAAAAUGCGAGAAUCCUUUGAGGACCACCUGUUGCGAAGGCGUCCAACAAUAACAGGUCUGACUGUGAGGGGCGAAAGCUAGGGGA